AGUGAACGCUGGCGGUAGGCCUAACACAUGCAAGUCGAACGGCAGCACAGUAAGAGCUUGCUCUUACGGGUGGCGAGUGGCGGACGGGUGAGGAAUACAUCGGAAUCUACUUUUUCGUGGGGGAUAACGUAGGGAAACUUACGCUAAUACCGCAUACGACCUACGGGUGAAAGCAGUGGAUCUUCUGACCUUGCGCGAUUGAAUGAGCCGAUGUCGGAUUAGCUAGUUGGCGGGGUAAAGGCCCACCAAGGCGACGAUCCGUAGCUGGUCUGAGAGGAUGAUCAGCCACACUGGAACUGAGACACGGUCCAGACUCCUACGGGAGGCAGCAGUGGGGAAUAUUGGACAAAGGGCGCAAGCCUGAUCCAGCCAUACCGCGUGGGUGAAGAAGGCCUUCGGGUUGUAAAGCCCUUUUGUUGGGAAAGAAAAGCAGCAGGUUAAUACCCCGCUGUUCUGACGGUACCCAAAGAAUAAGCACCGGCUAACUUCGUG
Molecule: ribosomal RNA, 492 nt
Filed under: uncultured bacterium
Lineage: Bacteria
Description: partial 16S ribosomal RNA
Rfam family: Bacterial small subunit ribosomal RNA
Source: RNAcentral